RNAcentral lists this ribosomal RNA (763 nucleotides) under uncultured Streptococcus sp. RNAcentral's name for it is "bacterial SSU rRNA". It matches the Rfam family "Bacterial small subunit ribosomal RNA", at positions 28 to 776 of the family's 1533-position model. Lineage: Bacteria; Bacillati; Bacillota; Bacilli; Lactobacillales; Streptococcaceae. The record is from RNAcentral.
GACGAACGCUGGCGGCGUGCCUAAUACAUGCAAGUAGAACGCUGAAGGAGGAGCUUGCUUCUCUGGAUGAGUUGCGAACGGGUGAGUAACGCGUAGGUAACCUGCCUGGUAGCGGGGGAUAACUAUUGGAAACGAUAGCUAAUACCGCAUAAGAGUAGAUGUUGCAUGACAUUUGCUUAAAAGGUGCAAAUGCAUCACUACCAGAUGGACCUGCGUUGUAUUAGCUAGUUGGUGGGGUAACGGCUCACCAAGGCGACGAUACAUAGCCGACCUGAGAGGGUGAUCGGCCACACUGGGACUGAGACACGGCCCAGACUCCUACGGGAGGCAGCAGUAGGGAAUCUUCGGCAAUGGACGGAAGUCUGACCGAGCAACGCCGCGUGAGUGAAGAAGGUUUUCGGAUCGUAAAGCUCUGUUGUAAGAGAAGAACGAGUGUGAGAGUGGAAAGUUCACACUGUGACGGUAUCUUACCUGAAAGGGACGGCUAACUACGUGCCAGCAGCCGCGGUAAUACGUAGGUCCCGAGCGUUGUCCGGAUUUAUUGGGCGUAAGGCGAGCGCAGGCGGUUAGAUAAGUCUGAAGUUAAAGGCUGUGGCUUAACCAUAGUAGGCUUUGGAAACUGUUUAACUUGAGUGCAAGAGGGGAGAGUGGAAUUCCAUGUGUAGCGGUGAAAUGCGUAGAUAUAUGGAGGAACACCGGUGGCGAAAGCGGCUCUCUGGCUUGUAACUGACGCUGAGGCUCGAAAGCGUGGGGAGCAAACAGG